UCAAAGGUAUGAAAGGUGGAGAGAAAGGUUCUCUCUUAUGCAUGAAAAAUUGAGAAGAAAGGGUUCUUCUCUUGAUCUCUAUUGUAGAGAUCCGAUGCAUAGAUCUAGGAAGAGAAAGAGAGGGUCUCUUUAUUCUUCAUCUUCAUCAUAUUCCUCUUCGAUCAGUCAAAGGAUGGUGUCUUCAUGAGCUAGCACUUUCGAAAAGAUCGAUCAGUAUAAGGACUUCAUAUGGAUACCCGUAGAGGUUGGACACGUGUGCGGCUGCCAAGCAUCAUGAAGAACCAUUUAUCAUAGAUUUCAUAUGCGGUGAUCUACUACCCACGCUUAGUUAUGAAGUUUUAAAUUCAAUUAAUAUUUAGAUAUAAUCUAAAU
Molecule: long non-coding RNA, 372 nt
Filed under: Elaeis guineensis (African oil palm)
Lineage: Eukaryota; Viridiplantae; Streptophyta; Magnoliopsida; Arecales; Arecaceae
Description: long non-coding RNA (EGUI_LNC059935)
Source: RNAcentral